RNAcentral lists this ribosomal RNA (1566 nucleotides) under Bootherium bombifrons. Its description in RNAcentral is "16S ribosomal RNA". It matches the Rfam family "Bacterial large subunit ribosomal RNA", at positions 262 to 2854 of the family's 2925-position model. Lineage: Eukaryota; Metazoa; Chordata; Mammalia; Artiodactyla; Bovidae. The record is from RNAcentral.
ACUAUAUCUAGCCCAAACCCCACCCCAACAAAAUAACCAAAACGAACCAAAACAAAACAUUUACCCUAAUUAAAAGUAUAGGAGAUAGAAAUUUUAACAUGGCGCUAUAGAGAAAGUACCGUAAGGGAACGAUGAAAGAAAAAAAUCAAAGUACAAAAAAGCAAAGAUUAACCCUUGUACCUUUUGCAUAAUGAGUUAACGAGUACAAACUUAACAAAACGAAUUUCAGCUAAGUACCCCGAAACCAGACGAGCUACUCACGAACAGUUUAUUAGAACCAACUCAUCUAUGUGGCAAAAUAGUGAGACGAUUUUUGAGUAGAGGUGACACGCCUAACGAGCCUGGUGAUAGCUGGUUGUCCAAAAAAUGAAUAUUAGUUCAGCUUUAAAGAUACCAAAAAUAUAAACAAAUUNNNNNNNNNNNNNNNNNNNNNUCUAAAARGGUACAGCCUUUUAGAAACGGAUACAACCUUAACUAGAGAGUAAGAUUUAACAACACCAUAGUAGGCCUAAAAGCAGCCACCAAUUGAGAAAGCGUUAAAGCUCAACAAUAAAAACAACAUUAAUACCAAAAAUGAACAACUAACUCCUAGCCCUAAUAUUGGACUAUUCUAUUACCAAAUAGAAGUAAUAAUGUUAAUAUGAGUAACAAGAAAUAUUUUCUCCUCGCACAAGUUUAAGUCAGUAUCUGAUAAUAUCCUGACUGUUAACAGUAAAUAAAAAUAACCCAACAAUAAAUAAUUUAUUAAUUGUACUGUUAACCCAACACAGGAGUGCGCUCAGGAAAGAUUAAAAGAAGUAAAAGGAACUCGGCAAACACAAACUCCGCCUGUUUACCAAAAACAUCACCUCUAGCAUCCCCAGUAUUAGAGGCACUGCCUGCCCAGUGACUAGACGUUAAACGGCCGCGGUAUCCUGACCGUGCAAAGGUAGCAUAAUCAUUUGUUCUCUAAAUAAGGACUUGUAUGAAUGGCAACACGAGAGUUUUACUGUCUCUUACUUCCAAUCAGUGAAAUUGACCUCCCCGUGAAGAGGCGGGGAUAAACUAACAAGACGAGAAGACCCUAUGGAGCUUUAACUAACUAGCCCAAAGAAAAUAUACUCAACCGCCAAGGGAUAAUAAUACUCUUCAUGGGCUAGCAGCUUUGGUUGGGGUGACCUCGGAGAACAAAAAAUCCUCCGAACGAUUUUAAAGACUAGACCUACAAGUCAAACCAAAAUAUCGCUUAUUGAUCCAAAAAUUUGAUCAACGGAACAAGUUACCCUAGGGAUAACAGCGCAAUCCUAUUCAAGAGUCCAUAUCGACAAUAGGGUUUACGACCUCGAUGUUGGAUCAGGACACCCCGAUGGUGCAACCGCUAUCAAAGGUUCGUUUGUUCAACGAUUAAAGUCCUACGUGAUCUGAGUUCAGACCGGAGUAAUCCAGGUCGGUUUCUAUCUGUUAUGUAUUUCUCCCAGUACGAAAGGACAAGAGAAAUGAGGCCAACUUCAAUAAAGCGCCUUAAACCAAUUAAUGACCUUAUCUCAAUUAAUUCCACAAACAAGACCCGCCCUAGAAAAGGGCUCA